Molecule: long non-coding RNA, 1194 nt
Filed under: Pogona vitticeps (central bearded dragon)
Lineage: Eukaryota; Metazoa; Chordata; Lepidosauria; Squamata; Agamidae
Description: lncRNA (ENSPVIG00000002902.1)
Source: RNAcentral
UGCCUUGCGGAAGGACAGCCAAGUUGGGGCCAGUCUGACUUCUAGUGGGAGGGAGUUCCAAAGUCCGGAAGCGACAACUGUCCCAGGAUAUCGAAAUUUAGAGAUUCACAAAGUCUAAAGGUGAAUCUGCCACUGGGUGUUAGGAGAAUAAAUGCUAAGACCUCCUCUGUCCCUCUUCACUUUUCUCCCUUCCCACAACUUUUGGGGAAUAUCACAUAUUGCUCCUCCUUUCUCUUCUUGGGGGAGAUUUAUGCCCAUGCCCCAGACACCAUCACUUCGCCAGGUACCCAAAUUGCCAGUUACAACUCAGCUACUCAUUUAGAGUAAUGUUUUUGCUUGUUUUUGUUCCCUGGUAGUUCCUACCAAGCUAAGAUCAGGAGGGGAACUGCUUUUUAAGAGAUCUUACUCAUUUCUGGUUCGUAUCAAGGCCACCUGAUCAUUGGUCUUCUGCCUUCUUAGGACAGCCGGUUUACUCCAUUUGAGCUGUUUGUUCUUCUGUUUCACUUUUCCCGUCCUUAAAGAACUUGUGCAGGAGUAAACAAUCCAGUGCAUAAUUCUUAAAAAUGAUUCUUGCCUACCGAUCAACAGGUACACUUCAAAACCAUCCAGACAUCAUUCUGUUUUCUUAAAUUCAUCUUAGAACCGGUCACAACCAAGAAACACGAAAGGGGGACAUAGAGAGAGAGAGACUCUUUCUUUCACCAGAUCUUUAUUAACUGGGUUUUUUUUUUAUUCUCAUGGGAAUAAUUUCUGCCACAGAGGGUCUCCCCUGGUAACAGUUCCUAUGGAAACUGGAAGGGUCCUGCAUCAUCAGCAGGUGACUCAGAAGGGCCAGAUGACAUCCCAAGAGCCUAUGGACGAGAUCGGCCAGGAUAUUAAUUUGAGAGGCAACAGAAGACGAUUUUUUGCUAGAGCUCUCCUGCAACAGGUCUAUAGGUAUGUCUGUGAGAAGGCGGAUCAUCCAGUGAAUACGAACAGAGCGAGCUGAAUGUACAAACUGACAUCCUGAACCCCUACUCCAGGAGUGAGCAGAACUGCUGAUAUGCACACAGAGCACAACGGGAAGUAUAGUGGCAGAAGUUUAUGAGCAUAGAUUACAAAUUUUCAGAGAAGCAAUAGUAUGAUUAACACAGACAAUCAACUUUCGGAGUGCAGUUAAAUAAACACCACGGCUGUAUGUAGACUGAUUAUCUA